UAGAAGAGAGUAGCAAGGGUGUGGAU
Molecule: non-coding RNA, 26 nt
Filed under: Homo sapiens (human)
Lineage: Eukaryota; Metazoa; Chordata; Mammalia; Primates; Hominidae
Source: RNAcentral